This 456-nucleotide ribosomal RNA is filed under the name uncultured organism. RNAcentral describes it as "bacterial SSU rRNA". It matches the Rfam family "Bacterial small subunit ribosomal RNA", at positions 346 to 794 of the family's 1533-position model. The record is from RNAcentral.
GUGCAGCAGUCGAGAAUUUUUCUCAAUGGGGGCAACCCUGAAGGAGCGACGCCGCGUGGAGGAUGAAGGCUUUCGGGUUGUAAACUCCUGUCAUUUGAGAACAAGUGUAGCCAAGUAACUACUGGCUACUUGAUAGUAUCAGAAGAGGAAGAGACGGCUAACUCUGUGCCAGCAGCCGCGGUAAUACAGAGGUCUCAAGCGUUGUUCGGAUUCAUUGGGCGUAAAGGGUGCGUAGGUGGCGCCAUAAGUCGGGUGUGAAAUCUCGGGGCUUAACUCCGAAACUGCAUUCGAUACUGUGGUGCUUGAGGACUGGAGAGGAGACUGGAAUUCAUGGUGUAGCAGUGAAAUGCGUAGAGAUCAUGAGGAAGACCAGUGGCGAAGGCGGGUCUCUGGACAGUUCCUGACACUGAGGCACGAAGGCCAGGGGAGCAAACGGGAUUAGGAUACCCGCGUAGU